UGGGGAAUUUUGGACAAUGGGCGCAAGCCUGAUCCAGCAAUGCCGCGUGCAGGAUGAAGGCCUUCGGGUUGUAAACUGCUUUUGUACGGAACGAAAAGGCUCUGGUUAAUACCUGGGGCUCAUGACGGUACCGUAAGAAUAAGCACCGGCUAACUACGUGCCAGCAGCCGCGGUAAUACGUAGGGUGCGAGCGUUAAUCGGAAUUACUGGGCGUAAAGCGUGCGCAGGCGGUUAUAUAAGACAGGUGUGAAAUCCCCGGGCUCAACCUGGGACCUGCAUUUGUGACUGUAUAACUAGAGUACGGUAGAGGGGGAUGGAAUUCCGCGUGUAGCAGUGAAAUGCGUAGAUAUGCGGAGGAACACCGAUGGCGAAGGCAAUCCCCUGGACCUGUACUGACGCUCAUGCACGAAAGCGUGGGGAGCAAACA
Molecule: ribosomal RNA, 427 nt
Filed under: uncultured bacterium
Lineage: Bacteria
Description: bacterial SSU rRNA
Rfam family: Bacterial small subunit ribosomal RNA
Source: RNAcentral